This 279-nucleotide ribosomal RNA is filed under the name uncultured bacterium. RNAcentral's name for it is "partial 16S ribosomal RNA". It matches the Rfam family "Bacterial small subunit ribosomal RNA", at positions 506 to 784 of the family's 1533-position model. The record is from RNAcentral.
UGCCAGCAGCCGCGGUAAUACGGAGGGUGCAAGCGUUAAUCGGAAUUACUGGGCGUAAAGCGCGCGUAGGCGGCUUGGUCAGUUGGAUGUGAAAGCCCUGGGCUUAACCUGGGAACUGCAUUCAAUACUGCCAGGCUAGAGUGUGAGAGAGGAGAGUAGAAUUCCUAGUGUAGCGGUGAAAUGCGUAGAUAUUAGGAGGAAUACCAGUGGCGAAGGCGGCUCUCUGGCUUAACACUGACGCUGAGGUGCGAAAGCGUGGGUAGCGAACAGGAUUAGAUA